GGGAGAGAGAGAGAGAGAGAGAGAGAGAGAGAGAGAGAAGCGGAGAGAGUUGUACAGAUGGACCCGAUGCAGUGACUGACUGGCACGCAGACACACACUUUUUGUUUGCUGCACAUAAUCUGCCCAAUGACGCGUGACAGCCCACGUCCCCUCCCCUUAACUCUUUGCUGGGCCAGGCGCUCCCUCCGGCGCCGCCUGCCUCGCAGCUUUUUCCCCUGGCCUGCCCGCGCCCCGCAGAUCCUGAGCGCCUACCCCGGGUGGCAACGCCUGUUAGAGAGCGUCCCGGCACGCCUCCUCCUAAAGCUUGGGCCCUCUGGGACUGCUAGGAGGGGAAAAUCGUUUCAGAAUUGGAAAGGAAGGUACCAAAAGGAUUGGUGAGGGCCUUUCCCUGUUUCACUAGGCACUUGGAGAAGCUAUGACAGAGAGCUAUACAUCCAGCGCGCGCGGACCCCGUGCGUAUUUUCCCGGGAGUCCGAGUUCCAUGAAAGGGAAAGGGGUGAGGUUAGCCCCAGGGAUUCUCUAGCUAGUUGCCUGGGGGUGAUAAACGGGAGCCGGCUCUUCAAGAGCGCCAAUACUACCAAGCCUCCUCCUGCAAAAUUCAGAAAGGAUGCGCUUUGGUGAGAACUUGUCUCAGCCUUCCCAUAACUCAGGAGAUGAGGUUGGAGUGAGAAUGCCACCAGACCCCGGAAGGGGACAUAAAGCUUUGAGACCCUUCUCUGGAACACAGUGGGGCACUGAGCAUUGAUAGCCUAGUGACUGCAGUCCCAGGAGGCCAGGGGAGGAUUUUGCUGAGGAGAAACGAGUCCUGGCUUACCCACCUCUAACCCUACUGCCAAAACACUACACCAGCAAAGACUUCAUUGUCAAGAGCAUGGCAAUUCAUGGUGAAAGGGAAAAAAAGAGCCCAUACACUGGAAGAUAAGAGGAUGGCAAUGGAGCAGACAGUGGCAGCUCCUUCCUAAGCUUAUUAAUUUCCCACAGAGAGGUCUCUGGAAGGGGCUGUGAGGGUUGAGAAAGGCAGAGAAUAGAUCUUCAAGGAGUACUGCAUUACCUAGCCUCACCAUUCAGAAUAAGGAACUUUUUAAGGGAUAAACUUGAUUGACUACUUGUACAUGAAGGAGAGACAGAAAUUAUGGGCUGGUCAAUUAGGAAAAACACCAGGCCUGUGCCAAAAAUGUUGUUCAGAGGUUGUUAACUCAUUUUCUACCAUUUUGCCUUUAUCAAGAGAAUGAUACGUGGUGGUUUUUUAGAAAGAAACACAGAGGGGUUUGCUUGUUUGUUUGUUUUACAUCUUGGUGAGUCAAGAAGAGGCCUGCUUGCUGAUUUGGAUAAAAAGAAUGACCUGAGGGAGUUGGGUGUGGGGAGGGGUGCUUGUUUUUUAUAAGUAUACAUUGCAAGCUUCAUUUGGGUCUUUUCCUCACCCUAAGUAUUGUAGUUGGUUCACUGGGUAUUACAUGAGCAAAUGUUUUCCAGGCUGGCCCUGGGAAAGCCAGAGACUCAGAGUUGGGUAAUUUUGUAACCUGUGAGGAAGGACUUCAGGCUCCCAACUGUAGGGGUCAUUAUUCCUGACUCACAUUUAUCUCUCUUGGGCUUUUCCUCAUAAAUGGUCCUGCUUUUAAUGCUGCUGCUCCUGCAGCUACUACUACCACUAUUAUCAUUACGAUGGUAACCUGCCUUUCUCAAGUUUAAAAUGUUGUCUCUGAGCAUUCCCAAGUUUUAUUUACACUUCUGUUGCAGUUCAGCUGAGAAUGGAAUAGUCUUUGAAAGCUAUAUGUUAUCUUCCUCUCCUGGAUCUGGGUUGUAGUCAACUGGCUUCAUAGCCUCUGACUGACUUUUAGAGGGGUUAGCAAACCAAAGUGAUGUUGGAGGCAACUACCAACAGGUAUGAAAUCAGUGCCUCAUACUCAUCUAUGUGAGUGUGACCUCUGAACCAAAUCCAGUAUCCAAUAUUUUGACCCCCUGGAUUCUCCCAACUUUUGUACUCCUCACCAGAUCAGUGUGUAAAUAUCUGGCAAGAAAAGUCCUGGAUUUUUGUCAAAUCUAUAGGUUCCAAAGUCCCUCCUAGACUCGGACAUCACAGAACAACUUUAUACCUGAGCAGAAAUUGUCCUCUAUGUGUGUAUGGCUGUGGGUGUGUGUUUCAGGUUGGGGUGAAUGUUGUCAAAGGUAGCAAUUAAAAAUGGGUUUUAGGACUGUCAUUUUCCUUGAAUGCGUGUUCAUUAAGCAUCCAGUGCUCUUUGUUGAAUGUUUCAUGUAAGAUGGUUUUGAGAAAAUAGUUUGUGUGAAGUCAUACAGGACAGCAAUUUGUCCCAAGGGAGCAAAUUGAAUAGAGUUAUAAAAAGCCUUUGAAUGCAUCUCAGUGUGAGGGGUGUUGGCUGAUUGUAGCUGAAUCUCCAUCAGCCACUCUGAACCUCCUUACCCUCUGGGUCAGGCUUUUUAGACAGACUGGGGAUCAGGGUAUGUCUAGCAGUCCCAAAUUUGUGUCCAGCAGUCUCAAAUGAGACUUUGAGAAGUCUAACUCUAGGCCUUGGGAAUGUGACAACACUGAGAGGCUCUAUAUCAGAUUUCUUCACACAGCCAGGCGAAUGGACGUUAUCCCAAGAUUCAGUACCUGUGUGCCACACCUUUUCCUCUCUCUUAGGUAGUAGGUAAUCCCUGAGUUAAAUAAAGAAGCAACAAUAGACACACAGCAUAUAUAUCCUGAGCAGACUACACCCCUUGGCAUCCAAUCCCAGUUAGCUUUCUGAGGUGUGGACUGUGAGAAUUUGGGCUGCUGGGGAAAAAGCAGCACAAGGCUUGGCUUUUCUGGGAAAGGGGCUAAGCAGGGGACACAAAUGUCCAGUACUUGAAAUACACCUAUGGGACACAUUCUGGAGGCCCGAAGAGAGAGAUGUUUCAUUUUCUCAAGGAAAAGAGAAGUGAGAUAAAGAAAGUGAAAACAAAGGAAGGAGGAAAGAGACAAAGAGGAUUUGAGAAGUGGAUACCAGUUAGGAACUACACAGUGAUGAUUCACAUUGUAUUGAAGAGUCUUGGAAAUAUGGUUCAAUUUCUUUACAAAUUAUGCUCCCAAACUGCUUCCUUAACUCAUAUUGCCAAUGGAAUGCUUUGAGUAAAAACUAUUCUUCAUGAUUUAAAUUCAAAUGAAUUCCAGGCAUUCUAUGAUUUAAUCCGGCGGUAUUAAUUUAGUAUCAAUGGGGGAUGUCUCUCUAAACAUUAUAUGAAAAGUUGUUAGUUUUCAGGAGACUUUCAAAAACACUCAAAAGCUACCAAUAUAAGUCUUUCCUCACUGCUAAUACUUGAAAAUGUAGUCUCCUAAAAAGAAAUUCAAAGAUCAACAUGUCACAAAUGAUAGCAACGUCAUGACUACUACAAACACCUGUGGACUUACAUUAUGAAGUGGAGGAAGGAAUAGGCAAGGCUUGUAACAUAGUUGUUCUCUUGAACUUGCUGAGUGAAAAGCUGCUUCCCAGGCUGAGUUGAUAGUAUCUGUAAUGCAUUAUAGUAACCAUGACAUCAUUCAUAAUCUCCUUUUAAGGAAGUUUAAAGGAAAACUCGAAAUUUUAAAAGAAAUAAUAUCCAGAAUUGCUAAAUAAAACACUCAUAAAUUCUUAAGAACAAACAUAUUGAAUAUAAUGACCUGGAUGUUGAGAUUUGCUAGGCCUAGAAUUUAACAUAGGCCUGAACAACUUUAUACCUGAGCAGAAAUUGUCCUCUAUGUGUGUAUGGCUGUGGGUGUGUGUUUCAGGUUGGGGUGAAUGUUGUCAAAGGUAGCAAUUAAAAAUGAGUUUUAGAACUGUCAUUUUCCUUGAAUGCUUGUCCAUUAAGCAUCCAGUGCUCUUUGUUGAAUGCUUUCAUGUAAGAUGAUUUUGAGAAAAUAGUUUGUGUGAAGUCAUACAGGACAGCAAUUUGUCCCAAGGGAGCAAACUGAAUAGAGUUAUAAAGAAUAUAUUUCCUGAGUAUAAUAUUACUAAUACCUUGUGUGUGUGAUCAGCUGUUCCACAGCAUUAUCUACAUUCUAGAAUCAGUUUACCGAAGCCCUAAGAUGUAUAUUCCAGGUAAGUGGGGUUCCCCUGAACCUGUGAAAAUAUCCUCUAGAAACCCAAUGCCAAUGCACUGAAUACAGAGAGUUUCUUUUCUUGCCUGGGGGACUGAAUUAGCUACUCAUCCUCAAGGCCCUACACAGCUUAGUUUGAGUCCUAAGUUUGGCCAGCAAGAUAAGGCACAGAAGUGCCUGCUAGACAAAGACAAUCCCUGAUGUCUACAUUGUGCGGUGCCCGUGUCUCAGUAAAAGGUGCAGAGACAAAAGUAAGAGUCCAGAGAAGGCCAAAUGACAGACUUCAGUGUGGGCAAACCAGGUUUCCCUGGGAGAGAUUCCAGGAGGGCAACGCCCCCACAAUAUCAUGAAACACAGAUCCGGAUCACACCGUUUGAGUUGAUUCACCAAAGAGUGCAGAGUCCUGACACGGGAGGCGACCGGGGCAGAACAAAACAAGCCAUCAUCUGCCCGGUGGCGCCCUUAUAGACGCACAGUGCACAAACCGUGAACUUGGGGCAGUGUGAGGCCAAGCGGCGCGCUUGGUACGCUCCAGAUGCGCCCUGGGCGAAGCAGGGACAAAGUGCAGUUCCCAAGGGCCCGCCACAUUUUCCACGUUAUUUAGCCUCCCAUCGGGAAUUAGUGCCAUCAUUUGCUUCCCUUUAGGUGAACACUUUAUCUGUGGAAAGGCGUCCAAAGGGCGGGGCCUGCGGGAACCUAGCCCUCUUUCCACCUCCCUCUCUAUCUGCCUCUGUUCACCUCGACCAGCUCGUCGCCUGAUCUUGUCUCGAGGGGCAAGAGCCUGGUUCCCAUUUCUUCUUACUAGCUGGGCUGCCAGGGACCUUGCUCAGCCUCGGUUUUCCUCUGGUUGAACUAAAGCUGGCAAGAGCUGCCUCCCGGAUCGCAGUGAGGACUCUAAGGGAACGAGGGCGAGCGCGCUUUGGAAAGCCAGUUGCUGAGCAGAUGGUAAGGGAUCACUUCCAAGAGCCAGGGCUAGUUUCAUUUCAGUCUCGGACACGAGGUGGUCUCAAUGCCUUCAUUAAUGAACAUUCUCCUUAGAAGUCUGGAAAACUGACCCAAGAAGAAGGACCAACAAUUGAGUGUCGGGCAAGCCCACAACUCCAUAGGGGAACCAGGACUGCAUGGGUUCAAAUCCUAGCCCCCUAGAGGUAAUUUAACCUGUCUGUACUACAGUCCUUCAUCUGUGAACUGAGGGGAGU
Non-coding RNA from Callithrix jacchus (white-tufted-ear marmoset), 5253 nucleotides. The record is from RefSeq and is a predicted model, not a curated record. Lineage: Eukaryota; Metazoa; Chordata; Mammalia; Primates; Cebidae.